Molecule: unclassified non-coding RNA, 317 nt
Filed under: Hevea brasiliensis (rubber tree)
Lineage: Eukaryota; Viridiplantae; Streptophyta; Magnoliopsida; Malpighiales; Euphorbiaceae
Source: RNAcentral
AAAAAAAAAAACUUCAGCCAAUCGAUGUAGAUCGGACAAAUAGGCAUCGACCCAAAAGAGAAGGCAAACCAGCACGAUGUGGCAUCCAAGUUAAUGGAUCAGACAGGAGCUAGGAGCUGGUAGAGCUGAGGCUUAGGCUCGGAGUUCAUGCCGAUUAUUAUGACUAGAGGAAUGAAUCCAUAGUGCGUGAUGACUUUAGCCUUCUUCAAGGCCCAAUUGCUCCACUCCUUCAAGCACUGCGUGGUCGAUUUGUCAUCCAUGCCCUUUGAUCCCUUCCCGACGCUGCUCUUGCCUUUGCUCUUGAGCGAAACCCUAGA